This 482-nucleotide ribosomal RNA is filed under the name Blastocystis sp. subtype 1. RNAcentral describes it as "SSU rRNA". It matches the Rfam family "Eukaryotic small subunit ribosomal RNA", at positions 459 to 954 of the family's 1831-position model. Lineage: Eukaryota; Bigyra; Opalinata; Blastocystidae. The record is from RNAcentral.
UGGAGGUAGUGACAAUAAAUCACAAUGCGGGACUAUCAGUCUUGCAAUUGGAUUGAGAACAAUGUACAACUCUUAUCGAUAAGCCAUUGGAGGGCAAGUCUGGUGCCAGCAGCCGCGGUAAUUCCAGCUCCAAUAGCGUAUAUUAACGUUGUUGCAGUUAAAAAGCUCGUAGUUGAAGUGUGGGUGAUCGCUGUUGUGAGACUUCGGUCUCUCGACAGUAAGUCACCCCCUUCCAGUAUCCAGUAGUGGGUAUUCAGUUACUUACUAUUGUGUGUUGGUCGUUUACUGUGAGAAAAUUAGAGUGUUCAAAGCAGGCGUUUGCUUGAAUAGAUUAGCAUGGAAUAAUAAUUGAAGGCUUUCGUGUUCGAUUUGAUUGGUUUGUUCAUGGAAGCAAGGUUAAAAGGAACAGUUGGGGGUAUUCAUAUUCACUAGUUAGAGGUGAAAUUCUCGGAUUUAUGGAAGAUGAACAAGUGCGAAAGCAA